This 350-nucleotide unclassified non-coding RNA is filed under the name Hevea brasiliensis (rubber tree). The record is from RNAcentral. Lineage: Eukaryota; Viridiplantae; Streptophyta; Magnoliopsida; Malpighiales; Euphorbiaceae.
GGGGAUUGUUGUGGUGAUAGUUUUUUGCAAUUUUUUUGAGAUUGCUUUUGCAAUUGUUUGAAUUUUAAAUUAAAUUGUUUCAGGUUAUUCUAGUUACCUGAGUCACUACCUCCUGACCCUAAAUUUUUUCCGGGAUUUGGAGUGGGUUAGAGUGGCACCCUUUAAUCUAUUUCACUUUUGAUAUAAUUACUGUUGUGACAAAUUUAAGUUAUUUUCUAUAUUAACACAAACAGCAGACAAUUAACUUUCGCAUAUUGUUCCUGAAAGAGAUUUUGGAUUUGGCAGGGAAGGAUGAUUCUGGCCCACUUGUGUGAUGAACCAAAGGGAUUGAAAACUAACAUGUGCAUGUC